RNAcentral lists this long non-coding RNA (213 nucleotides) under Elaeis guineensis (African oil palm). RNAcentral's name for it is "long non-coding RNA (EGUI_LNC005126)". Lineage: Eukaryota; Viridiplantae; Streptophyta; Magnoliopsida; Arecales; Arecaceae. The record is from RNAcentral.
CUCCGCCAUCUUGGAAUACCACUCUACAUAUUUGUACCAAACACACACAAAAAAAAAUAAAAAAUAAAAACAGAAGUACAAUAUAUAGUCAUAUAUGUUUCAUUGUUUGACUUUAAGAUAUACAAUGCAUUGGAGUACAUGUCUUAGACCAAGUAUGGCUCCAUGUAUCGCCACAUCUUGAUCGGUUGGAUCUGACCAAGAAAAUAGAUAAAC